Molecule: ribosomal RNA, 407 nt
Filed under: uncultured bacterium
Lineage: Bacteria
Description: partial 16S ribosomal RNA
Rfam family: Bacterial small subunit ribosomal RNA
Source: RNAcentral
AUUGAACGCUGGCGGCAGGCCUAACACAUGCAAGUCGAGCGGAGCGGCGGACGGGUGAGUAAUGUAUCGGUACGUGCCCAGUAGCGGGGGAUAACUACGCGAAAGCGUAGCUAAUACCGCAUACUAUUGGAGCGGCCGAUCUCGGAUUAGCUAGUUGGUGGGGGAACGGCUCACCAAGGCGACGAUCCGUAGCUGGGUUUAGAGGACGACCAGCCAAACUGGGACUGUGACACGGCCCAGACUCCUACGUGAGGCAGCAGUGGGGAAUUGUGGACAAUGGGGGAAACCCUGAUCCAGCCAUGCCGCGUGUGUGAAGAAGGUCUUCGGAUUGUAAAGCACGUUAAGUUGGGAGGCGUUACCAACAGAAUAAGCACCGGCUAACUCCGUGCCAGCAGCCGCGGUAAUAC